UUUAAUGAGAGUUUGAUCCUGGCUCAGGACGAACGCUGGCGGCGUGCCUAAUACGUGCAAGUAGAACGCUGAUGUUUGGUGUUUACACUAGACUGAUGAGUUGCGAACGGGUGAGUAACGCGUAGGUAACCUGCCUCAUAGCGGGGGAUAACUAUUGGAAACGAUAGCUAAUACCGCAUAAGAGUGAUUAACACAUGUUAGUUAUUUA
RNAcentral lists this ribosomal RNA (208 nucleotides) under Streptococcus agalactiae GB00003. Its description in RNAcentral is "partial 16S ribosomal RNA". It matches the Rfam family "Bacterial small subunit ribosomal RNA", at positions 1 to 203 of the family's 1533-position model. The record is from RNAcentral. Lineage: Bacteria; Bacillati; Bacillota; Bacilli; Lactobacillales; Streptococcaceae.